UAUGGCAUUGGUUAGCCGGCUAACGACCAUAAUAGGCCUAUUGCACAUGUAAUGAUUAAAAGAGUGAAACAGUAGCGUAAGCGGUGUGGAGUCCAGCCUGAACAGUAAGGAUUUGUUGUUGUCAUAUUGUGCAGGCACAAUCGAGUCCAGUCGUCCACGGGAGUCGCACUAGAUAAGUCGCAAACAUCGAUGCAAGGGAAGAAACAGGGCAGGAGAAUAAACAAGAGACUAACCCGAACCAGAGAUUUUCUGUCUUUUUGGUUUUCCGUCACCUAACCGCGGGUAGCACUGAUCCAGCGCCAGCAGAAGACUCAUCAACCGCCCGUUCUACCUCCGUGGAACGUUGACAGAGUAUAAGAAAAGCUCCCAAUCCCUAGAUCGUAGUAGGGUUUGAAAGCAAACUGCAGCUGUAGAAAGCUCGCCGACAUGUUUACAUAACAACCUUUCGUAUAUUGAAGAGAAGAUAGUUGUGGACAACAACACGGGGGUUCAGCAUGGAACAUCUGAUGGUUAUUGUCGACGGUUAUUGUGUAAAGAAGACUACGUGUAUGUAGAUUGCGAAGUUGAUGAAUAAUUUUUCAUGUACCUUUCAAUGACGAGCGUCACGCGAAAUGUUUCGCGCUAACCUAAACCGUAAAUAUACAAUAUCGGAACCCAGGCGUCGUACAGAAUGAUUAUGAUUACGGUCACAAAACGUUUCGCUCGAUUUACAUUGGAGAGCAGUGUUAGCUUCGAAUCUUCAAGAGUUGCACGCGAAAAUUCAUAUACUGCUAACAGGAUCGAUAAAAAGCUUAUCUAGCUAAAUGGAUCAUCUUCAGAAAUGUAACAGAUACAUUACGCUAACGUCAAGUACAUGUUUUUGUUUAUGGCUAAAUGCGCAUAUUAAACACUGUGAGCACGAGAGCUAGCCCGCUGCCACAGGAAAGUACUAUUGAUGAUUA
Long non-coding RNA from Varroa destructor (honeybee mite), 941 nucleotides. RefSeq lists it as uncharacterized. NCBI's taxonomy places the organism in Eukaryota, Metazoa, Arthropoda, Arachnida, Mesostigmata, Varroidae. The record is from RefSeq and is a predicted model, not a curated record.